Molecule: long non-coding RNA, 522 nt
Filed under: Ananas comosus (pineapple)
Lineage: Eukaryota; Viridiplantae; Streptophyta; Magnoliopsida; Poales; Bromeliaceae
Description: long non-coding RNA (ACOM_LNC014646)
Source: RNAcentral
AGUCAGGGCAGCCAACUGCGCACUCAGAUCAAGGGGUGCGCUAGUCUCUGGUCGCGCACUCGGCUCCACAACAGUGGGUACACUCGCCUCCAUCACCGGCUCUCCUUUGAGAAUCGCAGGGAUGUCUCCGUCCUCACCCUCAUGAGCGACAGCGACCACCGCCUCAGCCACGAUCUCAUCACCUCUGUCAACUCCUCCCUCACCCGUACCUGCUCUGUGUCCUCUUUCUCCUGCGUCGGCGGAGGCGACGUCAUCCUUGUUACUGUCGUCGAGAACCGUGGAGGCGGUGAAGAAGGUGAUGAGGGUCAGAGAGAAGAAAAAUAACGAGAGGAAAAAAAAGAGAUAACAAGGAAUAAGAAUAUCUUGAUCAGUAUACUGAAAAUUCAGUUCAAAUCUGUAAAUUCUAAAAUAGUAGUCUUUUUUUUUGCAAAAAUGCAAAAUUGAUAAAUUUUUUAUGCAAAAAGAUUUUUUUUUUGAGCAAUACUAGUUGUACGCCUCCAAAGGAAUAUAAGAUAUACAUCU